CAAAAAAGAAAUAGUCACUAAUUUAGAGUAUUGUCAUCAGAUCUUGGAUUUAUAUAAAUUAAUUGUUUUUGAAAUGAAGACGCCUAGAUAAUAUAUAUACUAGGAUGGAGUAUAUUACUAACUAUUGCAAAAAUAAGGGAAUACAAUUCCACUUGCUGUCAAAGACGAAUAAAAAGCCUCCAUCCUGUGCCAAUAAACCAGUGAAAGAGAAAAGCAAGCGAAGUUUUAAAGGCACGCAUUGUUGUGUUUGCUGUUGCGCGUGCGUCGAAUUCCUACUCCAAUGUUAUAAAGGAUUAACUUGUGACAGAGAUGCACAGAUUGGGAAGGCGCUCUGUAAUCUAUUGAUUCACUUUUUGGUUAUUUUAAGUGAUUGUUUUCGUUUUAUACGUAAAUUGUGUUGCUGUAUUGUCGAUGAUAUUCAUAAAUAAUAAAUAAUUUGAUAAACUA
Pieris napi is the source of this 447-nucleotide long non-coding RNA. RefSeq lists it as uncharacterized. The record is from RefSeq and is a predicted model, not a curated record. The transcript has 2 exons. Lineage: Eukaryota; Metazoa; Arthropoda; Insecta; Lepidoptera; Pieridae.